This 674-nucleotide ribosomal RNA is filed under the name uncultured organism. RNAcentral describes it as "bacterial SSU rRNA". It matches the Rfam family "Bacterial small subunit ribosomal RNA", at positions 769 to 1456 of the family's 1533-position model. The record is from RNAcentral.
CGUACAGGAUUAGAUACCCUGGUAGUCCACGCCGUAAACGAUGAUCACUCGCUGUUGGCAAUAUAGAGUCAGCGACUGAGCGAAAGCAUUAAGUGAUCCACCUGGGGAGUACGUCGGCAACGAUGACACUCAAAGGAAUCGACGGGGACCCGCACAAGCGGUGGAACAUGUGGCCUAAUUCGAUGAUACGCGAGGAACCUUACCUGGGCUUAAAUGUAGCCGGACGAUUCCGGAAACGGGAUUUCCUUAACGACUGGUUACAAGGUGCUGCAUGGCUGUCGUCAGCUCGUGCCGUGAGGUAUCGGGUUAAGUCCCAUAACGAGCGCAACCCUUAUUCUUAGUUGCCAGCGGGUAGAGCCGGGGACUCUAAGGAGACUGCCACCGUAAGGUGUGAGGAAGAUGGGGAUGACGUCAGGUCAGCACGGCCCUUACGUCCAGGGCUACACACGUGUUACAAUGGCCGGUACAGAAGGCGGCAAACUUGAGAGAGGGCGCGAAUCCAUGAAAGCCGGUCUCAGUUCGGAUUGGAGUCUGCAACCCGACUUCAUGAAGUUGGAAUCGCUAGUAAUCGCGCAUCAGCAAUGGCGCGGUGAUACGUUCCCGGGCCUUGUACACACCGCCCGUCAAGCCAUGGAAGCCGGGGGUACCUGAAGUCCGUAACCGCAAGGAGCGGC